This 253-nucleotide ribosomal RNA is filed under the name uncultured bacterium. Its description in RNAcentral is "partial 16S ribosomal RNA". It matches the Rfam family "Bacterial small subunit ribosomal RNA", at positions 524 to 776 of the family's 1533-position model. The record is from RNAcentral.
UACAGAGGUGGCAAGCGUUGUUCGGAAUUACUGGGCUUAAAGGGUGCGUAGGCGGCGCGGAAAGUAGGGUGUGAAAUCCCUCGGCUCAACCGAGGAAUUGCGCCCUAAACUACCGUGCUCGAGGGAGAUAGAGGUGAGCGGAACUUAGGGUGGAGCGGUGAAAUGCGUUGAUAUCCUAAGGAACACCGGUGGCGAAAGCGGCUCACUGGAUCUCUUCUGACGCUGAGGCACGAAAGCUAGGGUAGCGAACGGG